GACGAACGCUGGCGGCGUGCUUAACACAUGCAAGUCGAACGGAAAGGCCCUGCUUGCAGGGUACUCGAGUGGCGAACGGGUGAGUAACACGUGGGUGAUCUGCCCUGCACUUCGGGAUAAGCCUGGGAAACUGGGUCUAAUACCGGAUAGGAGCCAUUUUUAGUGUGAUGGUUGGAAAGUUUUUUCGGUGUAGGAUGAGCUCGCGGCCCAUCAGCUUGUUGGUGGGGUAAUGGCCUACCAAGGCGGCGACGGGUAGCCGGCCUGAGAGGGUGGACGGCCACAUUGGGACUGAGAUACGGCCCAGACUCCUACGGGAGGCAGCGGUGGGGAAUAUUGCACAAUGGGCGCAAGCCUGAUGCAGCGACGCCGCGUGGGGGAUGACGGCCUUCGGGUUGUAAACUCCUUUCGCUAGGGACGAAGCUUUUUGUGACGGUACCUAGAUAAGAAGCACCGGCUAACUACGUG
Molecule: ribosomal RNA, 465 nt
Filed under: uncultured bacterium
Lineage: Bacteria
Description: partial 16S ribosomal RNA
Rfam family: Bacterial small subunit ribosomal RNA
Source: RNAcentral